CAGUAGCCGCGGUAAUACAGAGGGUGCAAGUGUUAAUCGGAAUUACUGGGCGUAAAGGGCGCGUAGGUGGUUAUAUAAGACAGAUGUGAAAUCCCCGGGCUCAACCUGGGACCUGCAUUUGUGACUGUAUAGCUAGAGUACGGUAGAGGGGGAUGGAAUUCCGCGUGUAGCAGUGAAAUGCGUAGAUAUGCGGAGGAACACCGAUGGCGAAGGCAAUCCCCUGGACCUGUACUGACGCUCAUGCGCGAAAGCGUGGGGAGCAAACAGGAUUAGAUACCCGUGUAGUCCCUGUCUCUUAUAA
RNAcentral lists this ribosomal RNA (301 nucleotides) under uncultured bacterium. RNAcentral's name for it is "partial 16S ribosomal RNA". It matches the Rfam family "Bacterial small subunit ribosomal RNA", at positions 509 to 809 of the family's 1533-position model. The record is from RNAcentral.